ACACAUGCAAGUCGAACGGAAAGGCCCUUCGGGGUACUCGAGUGGCGAACGGGUGAGUAACACGUGGGUGAUCUGCCCUGCACUUUGGGAUAAGCCUGGGAAACUGGGUCUAAUACCGAAUAGGACCGCGCUCUUCAUGGGGUGUGGUGGAAAGCUUUUGCGGUGUGGGAUGGGCCCGCGGCCUAUCAGCUUGUUGGUGGGGUAAUGGCCUACCAAGGCGACGACGGGUAGCCGGCCUGAGAGGGUGACCGGCCACACUGGGACUGAGAUACGGCCCAGACUCCUACGGGAGGCAGCAGUGGGGAAUAUUGCACAAUGGGCGCAAGCCUGAUGCAGCGACGCCGCGUGAGGGAUGACGGCCUUCGGGUUGUAAACCUCUUUCAAUAGGGACGAAGCGCAAGUGACGGUACCUAUAGAAGAAGGACCGGCCAACUACGUGCCAGCAGCCGCGGUAAUACGUAGGGUCCGAGCGUUGUCCGGAAUUACUGGGCGUAAAGAGCUCGUAGGUGGUUUGUCGCGUUGUUCGUGAAAACUCACAGCUUAACUGUGGGCGUGCGGGCGAUACGGGCAGACUAGAGUACUGCAGGGGAGACUGGAAUUCCUGGUGUAGCGGUGGAAUGCGCAGAUAUCAGGAGGAACACCGGUGGCGAAGGCGGGUCUCUGGGCAGUAACUGACGCUGAGGAGCGAAAGCGUGGGGAGCGAACAGGAUUAGAUACCCUGGUAGUCCACGCCGUAAACGGUGGGUACUAGGUGUGGGUUUCCUUCCUUGGGAUCCGUGCCGUAGCUAACGCAUUAAGUACCCCGCCUGGGGAGUACGGCCGCAAGGCUAAAACUCAAAGGAAUUGACGGGGGCCCGCACAAGCGGCGGAGCAUGUGGAUUAAUUCGAUGCAACGCGAAGAACCUUACCUGGGUUUGACAUGCACAG
This 927-nucleotide ribosomal RNA is filed under the name Mycobacterium sp. Its description in RNAcentral is "bacterial SSU rRNA". It matches the Rfam family "Bacterial small subunit ribosomal RNA", at positions 51 to 993 of the family's 1533-position model. The record is from RNAcentral. Lineage: Bacteria; Bacillati; Actinomycetota; Actinomycetes; Mycobacteriales; Mycobacteriaceae.